AGACGGAGGGUCCUAGCGUUGUUCGGAAUGACUGGGCGUAAAGGGUACGUAGGCGGUUUGGUCAGUUAGAUGUGAAAGCCCAGGGCUCAACCUUGGAACUGCAUUUAAUACUGCCAAACUUGAGAUCGGAAGAGGAAAGCGGAAUUUCUAGUGUAGAGGUGAAAUUCGUAGAUAUUAGAAGGAACAUCAGAGGCGAAGGCGGCUUUCUGGUCCGAUGCUGACGCUGAGGUACGAAAGCGUGGGGAGCAAACAGGAUUAGAAACCCGUGUAGUCC
RNAcentral lists this ribosomal RNA (274 nucleotides) under uncultured bacterium. RNAcentral describes it as "partial 16S ribosomal RNA". It matches the Rfam family "Bacterial small subunit ribosomal RNA", at positions 523 to 796 of the family's 1533-position model. The record is from RNAcentral.